Molecule: ribosomal RNA, 460 nt
Filed under: uncultured bacterium
Lineage: Bacteria
Description: partial 16S ribosomal RNA
Rfam family: Bacterial small subunit ribosomal RNA
Source: RNAcentral
CCUACGGGUGGCAGCAGUGAGGAAUAUUGGUCAAUGGUCGCGAGCCUGAACCAGCCAAGCCGCGUGAAGGAUGACUGUCCUACGUAUUGUAAACUUCUUUUGUAAAGGAAUAAAGUCAGGCACGCGUGCCUUUUUGUGUGUACUUUAUGAAUAAGGAUCGGCUAACUCCGUGCCAGCAGCCGCGGUAAUACGGAGGAUCCGAGCGUUAUCCGGAUUUAUUGGGUUUAAAGGGAGCGGAGAUGGGUUGUUAAGUCAGUUGUGAAAGUUUGCGGCUCAACCGUAAAAUUGCAAUUGAUACUGGCAGUCUUGAGUACAGUAGAGGUAUGCGGAAUUCGUGGUGUAGCGGUGAAAUGCUUAGAUAUCACGAAGAACUCCGAUUGCGAAGGCAGCUUACUAAACUGCCACUGACAUUGAGGCACGAAAGUGUGGGUAUCAAACAGGAUUAGAUACCCUUGUAGUC